GACCACGAUACCCCCAGAGACGUGACGAGA
Molecule: non-coding RNA, 30 nt
Filed under: Homo sapiens (human)
Lineage: Eukaryota; Metazoa; Chordata; Mammalia; Primates; Hominidae
Source: RNAcentral